Molecule: ribosomal RNA, 456 nt
Filed under: uncultured bacterium
Lineage: Bacteria
Description: bacterial SSU rRNA
Rfam family: Bacterial small subunit ribosomal RNA
Source: RNAcentral
AUGAACGCUGGCGACGUGGAUAAGGCAUGCAAGUCGUGCGGCCUGCUUUGGUCUCGCAAGAGAUCGAAGUAGGUAGCGGCAAACGAGGUAGUAAUACAGAGGAACAUACCCCAGAGUCGGGGAUAACCCGUCGAAAGACGGACUAAUCCCCGAUAGUCUCGCAAGAGUAAACCCGCAAGGGGCUCUGGGAUUGGCCUCUGGGCUAUCAGCUAGUUGGUAGGGUAAUGGCCUACCAAGGCUAUGACGGCUAGGGGGGGUGAGAGCCUGUUCCCCACCGAUGGUACUGCGACACGGACCAUACACCUACGGGUGGCAGCAGCCGAGAAUCUUCCGCAAUGGGCGAAAGCCUGACGGAGCGACGUCGCGUGGUGGAUGAAGUCCUUCGGGACGUAAACACCUUUUGUCGGGGACGAAAUUUUUGACGGUACCCGAAGAAUAAGGGGUUGCUAAACUCGU